CGGGCGUAGCAAUACGUCAGCGGCAGACGGGUGAGUAACGCGUGGGAACGUACCUUUUGGUUCGGGAUAACCCAGGGAAACUUGGACUAAUACCGGAUAAGCCCUUACGGGGAAAGAUUUAUCGCCGAAAGAUCGGCCCGCGUCUGAUUAGCUAGUUGGUGAGGUAACGGCUCACCAAGGCGACGAUCAGUAGCUGGUCUGAGAGGAUGAUCAGCCACAUUGGGACUGAGACACGGCCCAA
RNAcentral lists this ribosomal RNA (241 nucleotides) under uncultured bacterium. RNAcentral's name for it is "partial 16S ribosomal RNA". It matches the Rfam family "Bacterial small subunit ribosomal RNA", at positions 67 to 334 of the family's 1533-position model. The record is from RNAcentral.